UCCUCAAUAGCUCAGCGGUAGAGCGAUCGGCUGUUAACCGAUUGGUCGUAGGUUCAAAUCCUACUUGGGGAG
This 72-nucleotide transfer RNA is filed under the name Picochlorum sp. 'soloecismus'. RNAcentral describes it as "tRNA-Asn". It matches the Rfam family "tRNA". Rfam says of the family: Transfer RNA (tRNA) molecules are approximately 80 nucleotides in length. Their secondary structure includes four short double-helical elements and three loops (D, anti-codon, and T loops). The record is from RNAcentral. Lineage: Eukaryota; Viridiplantae; Chlorophyta; Trebouxiophyceae.